Molecule: ribosomal RNA, 426 nt
Filed under: uncultured Chamaesiphon sp.
Lineage: Bacteria; Bacillati; Cyanobacteriota; Cyanophyceae; Gomontiellales; Chamaesiphonaceae
Description: bacterial SSU rRNA
Rfam family: Bacterial small subunit ribosomal RNA
Source: RNAcentral
UGGGGAAUUUUCCGCAAUGGGCGCAAGCCUGACGGAGCAAUACCGCGUGAGGGAGGAAGGCUCUUGGGUCGUAAACCUCUUUUCUCAGGGAAGAACAAAAUGACGGUACCUGAGGAAUAAGCAUCGGCUAACUCUGUGCCAGCAGCCGCGGUAAUACAGAGGAUGCAAGCGUUAUCCGGAAUGAUUGGGCGUAAAGCGUCCGUAGGUGGUUUGUCAAGUCUGUGGUUAAAGCGCGAAGCUCAACUUCGUAAGGGCCAUGGAAACUGACAGACUAGAGUCAAGUAGGGGUAGAGGGAAUUCCCAGUGUAGCGGUGAAAUGCGUAGAGAUUGGGAAGAACACCGGUGGCGAAAGCGCUCUACUGGACUUGUACUGACACUGAGGGACGAAAGCUAGGGGAGCGAAAGGGAUUAGAUACCCCUGUAGUC